UUAAAGUCUAAUCUGCCCUAUGAGGAGUUAAAUGGCCGCGGUAUCUUGACCGUGCAAAGGUAGCAUAAUAAUUAGUUUUUUAAUUGAAAGCUGGAAUGAAUGAUUGGACGAGAAAAUGACUGUCUCAAUUUAAUUUUAUUAGAAUUUUAUUUUUAAGUAAGAAAGCUUAAAUUUUAUUAAAAGACGAGAAGACCCUAUAGAGUUUUAUAAUUAAUUAAUUAUUAAUUUUUUAGUAUAUUUUUAUUAGUAUUUUAUUGAUUAUUUUGUUGGGGCGAUAGAAAAAUAUAAUAAACUUUUUUUAGUAUUUAUACAUUAAUUUAUGGUUUUAUGAUCCAUUAUUUAUGAUUAAAAGAUUAAGUUACCUUAGGGAUAACAGCGUAAUUUUUUUUUAGAGUUCUUAUCGAAAGAAAAGAUUGCGACCUCGAUGUUGGAUUAAAAUUAAAGCUAGGUGUAGGAGCUUAGUAAUUAGGUCUGUUCGACCUUUAAAAUUUUACA
Molecule: ribosomal RNA, 495 nt
Filed under: Maladera sp. LW1342
Lineage: Eukaryota; Metazoa; Arthropoda; Insecta; Coleoptera; Scarabaeidae
Description: partial 16S large subunit ribosomal RNA
Rfam family: Bacterial large subunit ribosomal RNA
Source: RNAcentral